UAUUUUGUUGGUUUGCGUGUUGGCGGAAUGAUGAAGAGGGACAGUUGGGGGUAUUCGAAUUCUAGUGUCAGAGGUGAAAUUCUUGGAUUACUAGAAGGCGAACGACUGCGAAAGCAUUUACCAAGGAUGUUUUCAUUGAUCAAGAACGAAAGUAUGGGGAUCGAAGAUGAUUAGAUACCAUCGUAGUCCAUACCG
This 195-nucleotide ribosomal RNA is filed under the name Schizochytrium aggregatum. RNAcentral describes it as "partial Eukaryotic small subunit ribosomal RNA". It matches the Rfam family "Eukaryotic small subunit ribosomal RNA", at positions 838 to 1032 of the family's 1831-position model. Lineage: Eukaryota; Bigyra; Thraustochytrida; Thraustochytriidae. The record is from RNAcentral.